This 410-nucleotide ribosomal RNA is filed under the name uncultured Gammaproteobacteria bacterium. Its description in RNAcentral is "bacterial SSU rRNA". It matches the Rfam family "Bacterial small subunit ribosomal RNA", at positions 9 to 423 of the family's 1533-position model. The record is from RNAcentral. Lineage: Bacteria; Pseudomonadati; Pseudomonadota; Gammaproteobacteria.
GAGUUUGAUCUUGGCUCAGAUUGAACGCUGGCGGCAGGCCUAACACAUGCAAGUCGAGCGGCAGCGCGGGGCAACCUGGCGGCGAGCGGCGGACGGGUGAGUAACGCGUAGGAAUCUACCCAGUAGCGGGGGAUAGCCCGGGGAAACUCGGAUUAAUACCGCAUACGCCCUAAGGGGGAAAGCAGGGGAUCUUCGGACCUUGCACUAUUGGCAGAGCCUGCGUUGGAUUAGCUAGUUGGUAGGGUAAAGGCCUACCAAGGCGACGAUCCAUAACUGGUCUGAGAGGAUGAUCAGUCACACCGGAACUGAGACACGGUCCGGACUCCUACGGGAGGCAGCAGUGGGGAAUAUUGGACAAUGGGGGCAACCCUGAUCCAGCCAUGCCGCGUGUGUGAAGAAGGCCUUCGGUU